This is a long non-coding RNA of Balaenoptera acutorostrata (minke whale), 488 nucleotides long. RefSeq lists it as uncharacterized. NCBI's taxonomy places the organism in Eukaryota, Metazoa, Chordata, Mammalia, Artiodactyla, Balaenopteridae. The record is from RefSeq and is a predicted model, not a curated record. The transcript has 4 exons.
CAACCCUCGGGGUUCCUGACCUUGCUUGCCUUGACCUCCAAGACUUGUUUGCCCUGUCCUGCCAUGACAGAUCUACUAGUUGGGCCUCAGGCCUGACCUCUGAAGACAUCAAGUUCAUCAUUCUUGGCCUGCAGCCCCCUAGUCUCGAUUCCUGAUCCAUCUCUGCAUGUCCGGCCCUGACAGGAACCACCCACACCUCAAACUUUCAAAUAUACCACACAGCAUGUGGCCCUGGAGUUAAUCAAGCUGCGAGACAAUGUUCUGAAUUGGAAUUAGACUCUGCCUCUCCUUUUAGAAAAGCAGCCAUAGGAAACUAACACAGUCUGGAACACGAAGAGAUGUGAAAAUGCCUGGUGCAACAAAUGGUACAUAAAAGACACUCCAUAAAGCAACAGGAGAUAUUGGGAUGGGAAAUGGAAGCUAGACUCCAGAGGGAAGAGCUUUUUCUAUGGAACAAAGAUUUGAAGAAAGGGAGAGCAUUAAAGCCA